GUAACCUGCCUGUAAGACUGGGAUAACUCCGGGAAACCGGGGCUAAUACCGGAUGGUUGUUUGAACCGCAUGGUUCAGACAUAAAAGGUGGCUUCGGCUACCACUUACAGAUGGACCCGCGGCGCAUUAGCUAGUUGGUGAGGUAACGGCUCACCAAGGCAACGAUGCGUAGCCGACCUGAGAGGGUGAUCGGCCACACUGGGACUGAGACACGGCCCAGACUCCUACGGGAGGCAGCAGUAGGGAAUCUUCCGCAAUGGACGAAAGUCUGACGGAGCAACGCCGCGUGAGUGAUGAAGGUUUUCGGAUCGUAAAGCUCUGUUGUUAGGGAAGAACAAGUGCCGUUCAAAUAGGGCGGCACCUUGACGGUACCUAACCAGAAAGCCACGGCUAACUACGUGCCAGCAGCCGCGGUAAUACGUAGGUGGCAAGCGUUGUCCGGAAUUAUUGGGCGUAAAGGGCUCGCAGGCGGUUUCUUAAGUCUGAUGUGAAAGCCCCCGGCUCAACCGGGGAGGGUCAUUGGAAACUGGGGAACUUGAGUGCAGAAGAGGAGAGUGGAAUUCCACGUGUAGCGGUGAAAUGCGUAGAGAUGUGGAGGAACACCAGUGGCGAAGGCGACUCUCUGGUCUGUAACUGACGCUGAGGAGCGAAAGCGUGGGGAGCGAACAGGAUUAGAUACCCUGGUAGUCCACGCCGUAAACGAUGAGUGCUAAGUGUUAGGGGGGUUUCCGCCCCUUUAGUGCUGCAGCUAACGCAUUAAGGCACUCCGCCUGGGCGAGUACGGGACGGCAAGACUGAAAACUCUAAGGAAUUGACGGUGGCCCCGCAACAAU
RNAcentral lists this ribosomal RNA (833 nucleotides) under unidentified. RNAcentral's name for it is "bacterial SSU rRNA". It matches the Rfam family "Bacterial small subunit ribosomal RNA", at positions 121 to 930 of the family's 1533-position model. The record is from RNAcentral.